This 2910-nucleotide ribosomal RNA is filed under the name Staphylococcus epidermidis. RNAcentral's name for it is "bacterial LSU rRNA". It matches the Rfam family "Bacterial large subunit ribosomal RNA". The record is from RNAcentral. Lineage: Bacteria; Bacillati; Bacillota; Bacilli; Caryophanales; Staphylococcaceae.
ACGGUGGAUGCCUUGGCACUAGAAGCCGAUGAAGGACGUUACUAACGACGAUAUGCUUUGGGUAGCUGUAAGUAAGCGUUGAUCCAGAGAUUUCCGAAUGGGGGAACCCAGCAUGAGUUAUGUCAUGUUAUCGACAUGUGAAUUCAUAGCAUGUCAGAAGGCAGACCCGGAGAACUGAAACAUCUUAGUACCCGGAGGAAGAGAAAGAAAAAUCGAUUCCCUGAGUAGCGGCGAGCGAAACGGGAAGAGCCCAAACCAACAAGCUUGCUUGUUGGGGUUGUAGGACACUCUAUACGGAGUUACAAAAGAACAUGUUAGACGAAUCAUCUGGAAAGAUGAAUCAAAGAAGGUAAUAAUCCUGUAGUCGAAAACAUAUUCUCUCUUGAGUGGAUCCUGAGUACGACGGAGCACGUGAAAUUCCGUCGGAAUCUGGGAGGACCAUCUCCUAAGGCUAAAUACUCUCUAGUGACCGAUAGUGAACCAGUACCGUGAGGGAAAGGUGAAAAGUACCCCGGAAGGGGAGUGAAAGAGAACUUGAAACCGUGUGCUUACAAGUAGUCAGAGCCCGUUAAUGGGUGAUGGCGUGCCUUUUGUAGAAUGAACCGGCGAGUUACGAUCUGAUGCAAGGUUAAGCAGCAAAUGUGGAGCCGCAGCGAAAGCGAGUCUGAAUAGGGCGUUGAGUAUUUGGUCGUAGACCCGAAACCAGGUGAUCUACCCUUGGUCAGGUUGAAGUUCAGGUAACACUGAAUGGAGGACCGAACCGACUUACGUUGAAAAGUGAGCGGAUGAACUGAGGGUAGCGGAGAAAUUCCAAUCGAACUUGGAGAUAGCUGGUUCUCUCCGAAAUAGCUUUAGGGCUAGCCUCAAGUGAUGAUUAUUGGAGGUAGAGCACUGUUUGGACGAGGGGCCCCUCUCGGGUUACCGAAUUCAGACAAACUCCGAAUGCCAAUUAAUUUAACUUGGGAGUCAGAACAUGGGUGAUAAGGUCCGUGUUCGAAAGGGAAACAGCCCAGACCACCAGCUAAGGUCCCAAAAUAUAUGUUAAGUGGAAAAGGAUGUGGCGUUGCCCAGACAACUAGGAUGUUGGCUUAGAAGCAGCCAUCAUUUAAAGAGUGCGUAAUAGCUCACUAGUCGAGUGACACUGCGCCGAAAAUGUACCGGGGCUAAACAUAUUACCGAAGCUGUGGAUUGUCCUUUGGACAAUGGUAGGAGAGCGUUCUAAGGGCGUCGAAGCAUGAUCGCAAGGACAUGUGGAGCGCUUAGAAGUGAGAAUGCCGGUGUGAGUAGCGAAAGACGGGUGAGAAUCCCGUCCACCGAUUGACUAAGGUUUCCAGAGGAAGGCUCGUCCGCUCUGGGUUAGUCGGGUCCUAAGCUGAGGCCGACAGGCGUAGGCGAUGGAUAACAGGUUGAUAUUCCUGUACCACCUAGUAUCGUUUUAAUCGAUGGGGGGACGCAGUAGGAUAGGCGAAGCGUGCUGUUGGAGUGCACGUCCAAGCAGUAAGGCUGAGUGUUAGGCAAAUCCGGCACUCAUAAGGCUGAGCUGUGAUGGGGAGAGGAAAUUGUUUCCUCGAGUCGUUGAUUUCACACUGCCGAGAAAAGCCUCUAGAUAGAUAACAGGUGCCCGUACCGCAAACCGACACAGGUAGUCAAGAUGAGAAUUCUAAGGUGAGCGAGCGAACUCUCGUUAAGGAACUCGGCAAAAUGACCCCGUAACUUCGGGAGAAGGGGUGCUCUUUAGGGUUCACGCCCAGAAGAGCCGCAGUGAAUAGGCCCAAGCGACUGUUUAUCAAAAACACAGGUCUCUGCUAAACCGUAAGGUGAUGUAUAGGGGCUGACGCCUGCCCGGUGCUGGAAGGUUAAGAGGAGUGGUUAGCUUCUGCGAAGCUACGAAUCGAAGCCCCAGUAAACGGCGGCCGUAACUAUAACGGUCCUAAGGUAGCGAAAUUCCUUGUCGGGUAAGUUCCGACCCGCACGAAAGGCGUAACGAUUUGGGCACUGUCUCAACGAGAGACUCGGUGAAAUCAUAGUACCUGUGAAGAUGCAGGUUACCCGCGACAGGACGGAAAGACCCCGUGGAGCUUUACUGUAGCCUGAUAUUGAAAUUCGGCACAGCUUGUACAGGAUAGGUAGGAGCCUUUGAAACGUGAGCGCUAGCUUACGUGGAGGCGUUGGUGGGAUACUACCCUAGCUGUGUUGGCUUUCUAACCCGCACCACUUAUCGUGGUGGGAGACAGUGUCAGGCGGGCAGUUUGACUGGGGCGGUCGCCUCCUAAAAGGUAACGGAGGCGCUCAAAGGUUCCCUCAGAAUGGUUGGAAAUCAUUCAUAGAGUGUAAAGGCAUAAGGGAGCUUGACUGCGAGACCUACAAGUCGAGCAGGGUCGAAAGACGGACUUAGUGAUCCGGUGGUUCCGCAUGGAAGGGCCAUCGCUCAACGGAUAAAAGCUACCCCGGGGAUAACAGGCUUAUCUCCCCCAAGAGUUCACAUCGACGGGGAGGUUUGGCACCUCGAUGUCGGCUCAUCGCAUCCUGGGGCUGUAGUCGGUCCCAAGGGUUGGGCUGUUCGCCCAUUAAAGCGGUACGCGAGCUGGGUUCAGAACGUCGUGAGACAGUUCGGUCCCUAUCCGUCGUGGGCGUAGGAAAUUUGAGAGGAGCUGUCCUUAGUACGAGAGGACCGGGAUGGACAUACCUCUGGUGUACCAGUUGUCGUGCCAACGGCAUAGCUGGGUAGCUAUGUAUGGACGGGAUAAGUGCUGAAAGCAUCUAAGCAUGAAGCCCCCCUCAAGAUGAGAUUUCCCAACUUCGGUUAUAAGAUCCCUCGAAGAUGACGAGGUUAAUAGGUUCGAGGUGGAAGCGUGGUGACACGUGGAGCUGACGAAUACUAAUCGAUCGAAGACUUAAUCAAUUUUUAAA